GUAUGCUUAAAGUUCAUAACUCAACGUAAUAUUCAGAUUUCAGCAGCUAAUCACCAAAUUCAACUACUUUAUGCUCCUUUUGUCUCAAUUUAAAUGCUCUUUACGAAAAUUCGUGCAAUUUUAAACCCAAAAAAUAUAUAUUUCUAUAUAUUUUUAUUUUUAUUUUCUUACACCAAAUUAAAAUAUAUUGCCGAGAAUAACUAUAAUUUGGUUCUUCACCUCCGAGGUCACCCCACAUCCAGAUAAGCUACGAGUACGUUCACUCACUCUCCUGUGGUAACUGGUAACCCAGAGCUGCUUUUCUUCUCAAUAUGAAAUGUGUUGUUUGCACAGGGAAAUGGAGAAGAAAUCCAGCGGUAAAUACGGCAGGGAGCAAUCCCACCGUCACCUCCAAGCUAAGCCCUGGUUAAUUGGCUGCUGAUCGACUUCGCUUCGUUCACUCGAAAAGAAGGGAAUCCGGAUCCGUAAGUGACCGUAUUCCCCGCGAAAACGCAAUGAGGAGUAGCAACUAUGACUGAACUUCCCUAGUAUAGCCCGAGGGUUCUAUCAGCUGACUUUAGAUGCUUCCUUGGGUCAGAGCUGUCUGGAAGGAGAUGUUGCGAAGGAACCACAUUCACAGAGGCCCACUUAUGUGGGGAGAUGAAAAGAAAUGGUUCUUGCUGCAUUCUAAGGGGAAGAUUAAUAGGAAAUCUAUUAUCAAAUUAUCACUGGCUGCUACUGUUUAUGGAGUUUGAUGUAAGCUGAAUAUGAGGAUUUUUCAGCAAAAGAUGAUGGAGGUUGAUCUGUUGGGAUCCAAGAUUUGCAACAACAUCAGAGAUGCCAUGAUGGCUUGGCGAAGUAUCAAUUCCACGCAAGAGAACAAGGUCUUGUUCAGGGCUUGGGGAGUUCCUUUUCCACGGUUGAGUUCUACAGUA
Long non-coding RNA from Rhododendron vialii, 914 nucleotides. RefSeq lists it as uncharacterized. NCBI's taxonomy places the organism in Eukaryota, Viridiplantae, Streptophyta, Magnoliopsida, Ericales, Ericaceae. The record is from RefSeq and is a predicted model, not a curated record. The transcript has 2 exons.